Molecule: ribosomal RNA, 253 nt
Filed under: uncultured bacterium
Lineage: Bacteria
Description: partial 16S ribosomal RNA
Rfam family: Bacterial small subunit ribosomal RNA
Source: RNAcentral
CACGGGGGGAACGAGCGUUGUUCGGAUUUACUGGGCGUAAAGGGUGCGUAGGCGGAUGGGCAAGUCGGAUGUGAAAGGCCACGGCUUAACCGUGGACCGGCAUUCGAAACUGCUCGUCUUGAGUACAGGAGAGGAGAGUGGAAUUCCAGGUGUAGCGGUGAAAUGCGUAGAUAUCUGGAGGAACACCGUUGGCGAAGGCGGCUCUCUGGACUGAUACUGACGCUGAGGCACGAAGGCCGGGGGAGCAAACAGG